RNAcentral lists this ribosomal RNA (715 nucleotides) under uncultured bacterium. RNAcentral's name for it is "bacterial SSU rRNA". It matches the Rfam family "Bacterial small subunit ribosomal RNA", at positions 8 to 720 of the family's 1533-position model. The record is from RNAcentral.
AGAGUUUGAUCCUGGCUCAGAUUGAACGCUGGCGGCAGGCCUAACACAUGCAAGUCGAGCGGUAACAGAUCCAGCUUGCUGGAUGCUGACGAGCGGCGGACGGGUGAGUAACGCAUAGGAAUUUACCCGAUAGUGGGGGAUAACCUGGGGAAACUCAGGCUAAUACCGCAUACGUCCUACGGGAGAAAGGGGGCCUUGGCUCCCGCUAUCGGAUGAGCCUAUGCCGGAUUAGCUGGUUGGUGAGGUAAUGGCUCACCAAGGCGACGAUCCGUAGCUGGUCUGAGAGGAUGAUCAGCCACAUCGGGACUGAGACACGGCCCGAACUCCUACGGGAGGCAGCAGUGGGGAAUAUUGGACAAUGGGGGCAACCCUGAUCCAGCCAUGCCGCGUGUGUGAAGAAGGCCCUCGGGUUGUAGAGCACUUUCAGCGAGGAAGAACGCCUGGCGGUUAAUACCCGCCAGGAAAGACAUCACUCGCAGAAGAAGCACCGGCUAACUCCGUGCCAGCAGCCGCGGUAAUACGGAGGGUGCAAGCGUUAAUCGGAAUUACUGGGCGUAAAGCGCGCGUAGGUGGCUUGAUAAGCCGGUUGUGAAAGCCCCGGGCUCAACCUGGGAACGGCAUCCGGAACUGUCAGGCUAGAGUGCAGGAGAGGAAGGUAGAAUUCCCGGUGUAGCGGUGAAAUGCGUAGAGAUCGGGAGGAAUACCAGUGGCGAAG